This 726-nucleotide long non-coding RNA is filed under the name Homo sapiens (human). RNAcentral describes it as "HSALNT0346034". The record is from RNAcentral. Lineage: Eukaryota; Metazoa; Chordata; Mammalia; Primates; Hominidae.
UGAGCUCUGGAUAAGAAUGCAGCAGACUGACACCCUGAUUUUGGCUUUGUGAGGCCCUGAGCAGAGAGUCAAGAUAGGCCAUGUCCGGGCUUCUGAACUACAGAAUUGUGAGCUAACAAAGGGGUGUUGUUUUAAGCCACUAAGUCUGCAGUAGCCUAUUACACAACAAUAAUAACUGAUACAGAUAUCUACAUAGGUUUUGGCCUGAGCAAAUGGAUAGAUGGAGCAAUGAUUAGCCAAGAUGGGGAAGAGUGCAGGAGAUGGCCUGGUGCACAUUUUCUCAUCUAAUGGGGGAGAUAAAAGGGAACUUAGGAGAGAUGACAUAGAAUCCUCAUGGAACUGGAGGAAACAAUGAGGAACAAUCAAGUCUCUAUUGUAGAAUUCUACCCAUAAAAGCUUUCAGAAAGACUCUCGUCUAAGUCUUUCUUCACUGCUCACUCAAAAAUUGAUUCGCAACUAAAUAAUGGAUGUGUUUUCUCAAGCAAAUGGAAAUGUACUUAAAUGGAAUGUAGAAUUGAUGCUGCUUUUUUCUUAAUCCUGAAGCAAAUAUACUUCUCCUUCCACAGAAUUAGUUUCCUCUAAUAUGCUCUCAGUGCAGUUAACACUGGGAGAGGACGACUAGAUGCUCAACGUUUUGAAUUCUCCUAUUCUCUGCCCCAUGCAUCUCUUCCUUUGGCUGAUUUUGGUAUAUAUUCUUUUGCUGCAAUAAACUGUAACCAUGAGGAC